GGAGAGUUGUCCGAGCGGUCUAUGGUGAUUGACUUGAAAUCAAUUGGGUGUCACAGCCCCGGGGGUUCGAAUCCUCCACUCUCCGCCA
This 88-nucleotide transfer RNA is filed under the name Cloacibacillus sp. An23. RNAcentral's name for it is "tRNA-Ser". It matches the Rfam family "tRNA". Rfam says of the family: Transfer RNA (tRNA) molecules are approximately 80 nucleotides in length. Their secondary structure includes four short double-helical elements and three loops (D, anti-codon, and T loops). The record is from RNAcentral. RNAcentral also lists the same sequence under 1 other name. Lineage: Bacteria; Thermotogati; Synergistota; Synergistia; Synergistales; Synergistaceae.